CCCUUAGAUGUCCGGGGCCGCACGCGCGCUACAAUGGAUGAAUCAACGCGUCAUCCUGGCCCGAAAGGGUUGGGGAACCGCUGAACCUCAUCCGUGGUUGGGAUUGGGGUUUGUAAUUAUUCCCCAUGAACUAGGAAUUCCCAGUAAGCGCGAGUCAUAAGCUCGCGUUGAUUACGUCCCUGCCCUUUGUACACACCGCCCGUCGCUACUACCGAUUGGAUGGUUUAGUGAGAUCCUCGGAUUGGUCACGGCACGGUGGCAACACUGCGUCGGUGUGCCGAGAAGACGAUCAAACUUGAUCAUCUAGAGGAAGGGGAAGUCGUAACA
This 327-nucleotide ribosomal RNA is filed under the name uncultured eukaryote. RNAcentral's name for it is "partial 18S ribosomal RNA". It matches the Rfam family "Eukaryotic small subunit ribosomal RNA", at positions 1470 to 1796 of the family's 1831-position model. The record is from RNAcentral.